RNAcentral lists this ribosomal RNA (389 nucleotides) under uncultured Sphingomonadaceae bacterium. Its description in RNAcentral is "bacterial SSU rRNA". It matches the Rfam family "Bacterial small subunit ribosomal RNA", at positions 103 to 527 of the family's 1533-position model. Lineage: Bacteria; Pseudomonadati; Pseudomonadota; Alphaproteobacteria; Sphingomonadales; Sphingomonadaceae. The record is from RNAcentral.
CGGGUGCGUAACGCGUGGGAAUCUGCCCUUGGGUUCGGAAUAACAUCGGGAAACUGAUGCUAAUACCGGAUGAUGACGUAAGUCCAAAGAUUUAUCGCCCAGGGAUGAGCCCGCGUAGGAUUAGCUAGUUGGUGGGGUAAAGGCCUACCAAGGCGACGAUCCUUAGCUGGUCUGAGAGGAUGAUCAGCCACACUGGGACUGAGACACGGCCCAGACUCCUACGGGAGGCAGCAGUAGGGAAUAUUGGACAAUGGGGGCAACCCUGAUCCAGCAAUGCCGCGUGAGUGAUGAAGGCCUUAGGGUUGUAAAGCUCUUUUACCAGAGAUGAUAAUGACAGUAUCUGGGGAAUAAGCCCCGGCUAACUCCGUGCCAGCCGCCGCGGUAAUUCA